GGAUGCGAUUAUACCAGCACUAGCGCACCGGAUCCCAUCAAAACUCCGAAGUUAAGCGUGCAUGUGUGAAACUGGUACUAGGAUGGGUGACCCCUUGUGAAGUCCUCGUGUUGCAUCAC
Molecule: ribosomal RNA, 119 nt
Filed under: Solanum lycopersicum (tomato)
Lineage: Eukaryota; Viridiplantae; Streptophyta; Magnoliopsida; Solanales; Solanaceae
Source: RNAcentral